CAGCAGGUGAUUAAAUAUAUGGUCUUGCACUAGGUUUACUACAUUCGAUUUUUCUCUUUACACGUUGAUGCUAUUUUAUUUUUUUAUUUUUUUAUCAUUUUGAACAUCCAUCAAAUAAAUCCUCUAUGGUUGUUGGUAUCACGACUAAGUGUUGUGAUGGCAAUGAACUACAAACUGCAAAAUAUUUAUGUAAGUGAAUAUCUGAAGUGCUGCAAAUGAUUCCCAGUAGUUCUUUUGAAUGGCACCAUAUGCUUUCCCAUUUCA
Long non-coding RNA from Populus euphratica (Euphrates poplar), 264 nucleotides. RefSeq lists it as uncharacterized. The record is from RefSeq and is a predicted model, not a curated record. Lineage: Eukaryota; Viridiplantae; Streptophyta; Magnoliopsida; Malpighiales; Salicaceae. The transcript has 2 exons.